CAGGUAGGAGGAGGUGAGUCCUACAUAGCAGGGUAUGAUGGAGAGGGGUAAGGAAGACAGAGUGCAGUAUAGUCAGCUGAAAGGCAAGACAAGAUAGACAGAACAGGGAAUACAGAUCAUCUGGCAAAGAGAUUUGCAGAGUGUCGGGUGACCGGCAAAGAGAUCUGCAAAGUGUCAGUUGAAGACGACGGGAGGGGUCGCAGAGGUAGCAACGACUGGUGUAUAACAUGCAGGAGAUCAUCAUUUGGCAAAGUUCUGGCAAAGAGAUUUGCAGAGUGUCGGGUGACCGGCAAAGAGAUCUGCAAAGUGUCAGUUGAAGACGACGGGAGGGGUCGCAGAGGAAUUAGUGACUGGAGAAUAGCAUGCAGGAGUGGGUGAUCCCUGAAUAGCUGCCCUGGGAGGAGAUCUGCGGACACAUGUUCCAAAUGUUGGGACAUAUGCAUUACCUAUUAGGAGAUGCGGUUAAGAUGCCGGCUGUCAGGUUUACGGCAGUCAGAAUACUGACACUGGGAUCCCGACACUCUUCAGAAUCUGGACGUUGGAACUCCGAAUGGGCAAGGAUACAGACGCCCGUAUCCCCAUAAUCAUAGGUUUAGUGCUGGGCAAGGGGGGUUAG
Pseudophryne corroboree (corroboree frog) is the source of this 616-nucleotide long non-coding RNA. RefSeq lists it as uncharacterized. NCBI's taxonomy places the organism in Eukaryota, Metazoa, Chordata, Amphibia, Anura, Myobatrachidae. The record is from RefSeq and is a predicted model, not a curated record. The transcript has 4 exons.